AUUGAACACUGGCGGCAGGCCUAACACAUGCAAGUCGAGCGGAUGAAGGGAGCUUGCUCCUGGAUUCAGCGGCGGACGGGUGAGUAAUGCCUAGGAAUCUGCCUGGUAGUGGGGGAUAACGUCCGGAAACGGGCGCUAAUACCGCAUACGUCCUGAGGGAGAAAGUGGGGGAUCUUCGGACCUCACGCUAUCAGAUGAGCCUAGGUCGGAUUAGCUAGUUGGUGGGGUAAAGGCCUACCAAGGCGACGAUCCGUAACUGGUCUGAGAGGAUGAUCAGUCACACUGGAACUGAGACACGGUCCAGACUCCUACGGGAGGCAGCAGUGGGGAAUAUUGGACAAUGGGCGAAAGCCUGAUCCAGCCGUGCCGCGUGUGUGAAGAAGGUCUUCGGAUUGUAAAGCACUUUAAGUUGGGAGGAAGGGCAGUAAGUUAAUACCUUGCUGUUUUGACGUUACCAACAGAAUAAGCACCGGCUAACUUCGUG
RNAcentral lists this ribosomal RNA (484 nucleotides) under uncultured bacterium. RNAcentral's name for it is "partial 16S ribosomal RNA". It matches the Rfam family "Bacterial small subunit ribosomal RNA", at positions 30 to 507 of the family's 1533-position model. The record is from RNAcentral.